CCUACGGGGGGCUGCAGUGGGGAAUAUUGGACAAUGGGGGGAACCCUGAUCCAGCCAUGCCGCGUGUGUGAAGAAGGCCCUCGGGUUGUAAAGCACUUUCAGUGAGGAAGAACGCCUGGUGGUUAAUACCCAUCAGGAAAGACAUCACUCACAGAAGAAGCACCGGCUAACUCCGUGCCAGCAGCCGCGGUAAUACGGAGGGUGCGAGCGUUAAUCGGAAUUACUGGGCGUAAAGCGCGCGUAGGUGGCUUGAUAAGCCGGUUGUGAAAGCCCCGGGCUCAACCUGGGAACGGCAUCCGGAACUGUCAAGCUAGAGCGCAGGAGAGGAAGGUAGAAUUCCCGGUGUAGCGGUGAAAUGCGUAGAGAUCGGGAGGAAUACCAGUGGCGAAGGCGGCCUUCUGGACUGACACUGACACUGAGGUGCGAAAGCGUGGGUAGCAAACAGGAUUAGAUACCCCGGUAGUC
RNAcentral lists this ribosomal RNA (465 nucleotides) under Vreelandella stevensii. RNAcentral's name for it is "partial 16S ribosomal RNA". It matches the Rfam family "Bacterial small subunit ribosomal RNA", at positions 338 to 795 of the family's 1533-position model. Lineage: Bacteria; Pseudomonadati; Pseudomonadota; Gammaproteobacteria; Oceanospirillales; Halomonadaceae. The record is from RNAcentral.